UCCAAAAAAAUAAAUAGCGCUAAAUAACAAAAAAUUCCCUCUCUUUUCCCCCCAAUAUCCAUCAGAAAUUGCCCCAAAACAUUUCUCUCUCUCAUUUCUCCCAAAAUAGCGCUAAUUUGGGGUUGUUACUCUUUACUCCGAUUGAACUCUCCGUCGUCCAUUGAUAGGGUAAUUGCUACUCUCUACUCCGGCCAUUGCUACUUCGGCGUCUCUAAUCGGUCAUUGCCUUCUGCUUUAGCUUUUUCUCCGGUGUAUUCAAACUCUCACAGCUCCCAGGUCUGAUCCGUGAAACCAUCGAAGAAAGAUGAGAUUGAUAGCUUGGGAAGCAUUGUACCAAUCAAAGAACUAAAUGCGAGGAUGUUUCAGAGUCGUGCAGAUGAUGCACGAGGAGAAGCAGGGAGCGAGAAAUAGGAGGACGAGUAUUCUAAAAAACUCUUCAAACUGUGGUUGCGCGAAACUGACUAAAGGAGGCGAAAGAAGCUGGAAGCGUGACUUUGGAGAACGCGCAUCGCAUCGCAAUUACUACGAGAUGAAAAUGAGAGUGCAUAUGGAGAUUGCAGGCUUGUUAAACAGAAUAGAACCAGCCAAACAGCUACUGGGUAAUGGAAGACAUGAAACUUCAGGGAUCAGUUCCAGCUAGCCUUUUCAGUCUGUAUCAGUUGCAAACUAUGUAAGUGUCCCUUUUACUUUGUGUCGUUUAGAUUGAGUAUCUUAAAUGAAAUGUCCUAACUCUCUAUUAUACUGAGACUUGAUGACAAUGUGCUCAUUGCUUACAGCAUCUUGAGGAAUAACUAACUCAGUGGUACAUUUGAAAUUGAUACCCCAUAGAGCAACCAGUUACAGCUUAUUGAAUCCCUUUGUAAUUCAAUUGACAGUUUGUGUCCACUUGAGUUGGUGGAGCUGCUGCUGUUUUUGGAUGAUGUUGAUGUUGUUGUUAACCCCGGUUGCUGGUUGUUUAGUUGGCUUAAUUUGUAGCAAUGUAGAUCUGGCACGGAGUUUAUUUUUGGGAUGCUGCUGAUGCUUUGCUAUCCAGUAUUGUGCAUGCACUACUCCAUUCUUGCUUCGACAUCCAUCACACAGACAUGAAUUCUGGUCUGGCUUAUAUCACCCAGACUCGAAGUUUUCAGUGUCUUACUUACAUUGGGCACCUACACGAAAACUCAUGGAAACUCCUCACCUCCAAGGAAGGUUCUGAAUUUCAGAAUUUGGUUGAGACACUCUCAAGAGAAAAGUUGGCUUCCAGAUUGACAUUGACAGCUGAUGCUGCAUCAGUUGGACCCCCUCUUCUUCCAUCCAAGUGGUGCGGCUAGUGGACCCAUUUCGCCCAUGGAUGCAAGGAGAUCACGUGAUGAUAAUUAUCCUGAUGACAUUCUUUGAUUUCGUUGCAUUUGUCUUGAAUAUUCAAUUAUGAUGAUAUAAUUGUGUGGUUGGAGUGAAUCUUAGAAUAUUGAAGGUUGUGUUUAAAUUUGAUUUUGUAAUUUGAAGAUACUAGUUAAUGAUGAAAAUUUGGAGUUUGAAGAUGUUAAUGUUGAAAAUUUAAUUUUGAAGUUUAA
This is a long non-coding RNA of Capsicum annuum, 1553 nucleotides long. RefSeq lists it as uncharacterized. The record is from RefSeq and is a predicted model, not a curated record. Lineage: Eukaryota; Viridiplantae; Streptophyta; Magnoliopsida; Solanales; Solanaceae. The transcript is spliced from 5 exons.